Molecule: long non-coding RNA, 1398 nt
Filed under: Felis catus (domestic cat)
Lineage: Eukaryota; Metazoa; Chordata; Mammalia; Carnivora; Felidae
Description: lncRNA (ENSFCAG00000044852.2)
Source: RNAcentral
GCAUUAAUUAAGCAACGUUAGUUUCAUUUUCUAUUGUCUCUCUCUUUGACUUUGGAUUUUUCCACAAGAAAUGCUUCAAUCCAGAGAGAUCAUAUCAGUGUUGCUUCACUGUGCGUGAGUGUCAGAUGACAGUAUCUGCAUGUACACGAGGGAGGCCAUCUGUGGAGGAAUGUACAGCCUGACCUAGGUGGAUGGAUCUGAGAACAGGCUGCCAUACCCUGGUUAUUCCCCUUUGAGGAAUCCUAGGGCUGAGCAAGCUGUAGAUGUCCAUCUUCUAACGUGUCUGAAAGGGGCACUGCAGGGUGAGUGAUCCCCCCAAGGCUAGGUGUUGGGUUCCUCUGGCUUGUCAGCAGAACUGGUAAUCGUGGUGCCAUUUGAUUCUCUUAGUUGAGAGGAAGCCUGGAAACAAAGUUGUUUUCUGGAAAAUGUUUCCUAUUGAAAAGUCUUGACCUGAAACCUAUGUCAUAAUCAAGGGACUAAAGUGAUAUUUUCAAAGGGCCUCUGGCUGUACUGUUGACUCUCUAGUGGUUUCUCUCAGUACCAACAUUGCCUGGCAUUAACUAGCCCGGAUUCUGAUCUGGCAGUUCCUGAUUGGUGCCCUCUGCCUAUAUAAGGUCAGGAUGUGGAAUGCUGAAGGCAGCGUCCUACCUUCUCCUGAGCUCCACGCUUUCUUAUCUGUGCUCCCUGCUAAUCAACUCACCAGCAUGAAGCUCUUGGCAUUGCUGGUACUGGUGGCCGUUUCCACCUUCCUGGUUUCAGGCCAGACAACUGGCGCCGCUGCAAGUGAUAGCUCUACUGGUAAGUCUGUGUUUGUACUUCAUGUCCUUCCUGCCAUGACUGUUUUCCAUCUCUGUCUCGCGUCACGCGGCCAUGGAGGACAGAACGCAAAGCAGCUGCUUGGGAAAAGCCACAUUCUUGCUUGUAAAGUUCAUUGCGACCAUAGAAAAUCUGCUGAUUUCUUAUACAUUUUUAGAGAAUAUAGUCUCUGGAAAGGACCAAUGCAAACUGUAAGUGUGGUCUAGGAGAAAAGACAAGGGAUUAUGGUCUGAAUCUGUGGUGUGGGAAUUUGGGGGAGUUGCAUGUAAAGUCUUCUUGAUGACCAUAGCUUGAAGGGGUGAAUAUAGGGUCAGUGUGUAGAAGUGGGAUUAAUCAGUUUCAGGAUGAAGAAAGACAAUGUAAUUAAUUCCUGAAGGUGAUAUAGAAAUGACAGCAGUAGGCCUGCAUGGGAGUGUGGAAUGGAGAUUGAGGAAUAUGGGGUGAAGUUGAUGAAUGGCCUUAUGCUUUGUUCUUUGUAACGCAUGGCUUAGUCCCAUGCUGAUCUGCAUUUUUUUUUCUUAUGUGAAACUGAAGGUUGUGUAAAAAAGCCCCAAGUGCCUUUCUUGGGCUUCUCACACAGCG